This is a small nuclear RNA of Thalassophryne amazonica, 116 nucleotides long. RefSeq annotates it as U5 spliceosomal RNA. The record is from RefSeq and is a predicted model, not a curated record. Lineage: Eukaryota; Metazoa; Chordata; Actinopteri; Batrachoidiformes; Batrachoididae. The transcript has a single exon.
GUACUCUUUUUCUCUUCAAACCGUAUAAAUCUUUCGCCUUUUACUAAAGAUUUCCGUGGAGAGAAAGAUAAAGAGUUCAGUUGAAUUUUUUUGUUGCCUUAUUCCUUAGUAAGGCU